Molecule: RNase P RNA, 377 nt
Filed under: Armatimonadota bacterium
Lineage: Bacteria; Bacillati; Armatimonadota
Description: Armatimonadetes bacterium (anaerobic digester metagenome) RNase P RNA component class A
Rfam family: Bacterial RNase P class A
About the family: Ribonuclease P (RNase P) is a ubiquitous endoribonuclease, found in archaea, bacteria and eukarya as well as chloroplasts and mitochondria. Its best characterised activity is the generation of mature 5'-ends of tRNAs by cleaving the 5'-leader elements of precursor-tRNAs. Cellular RNase Ps are ribonucleoproteins.
Source: RNAcentral
CCGGUGGGCCGGACGGCCGCCGCUGUGAUGAGCAGGGGAGGAAAGUCCGGGCUUCAGAGGGCAGGGCGCCCGGUAACGCCGGGGCGCGUUGGUCGCAAGCCCAACGUGACGGAAAGCGCCACAGAAAAGGAAAGGCCCGCAAGGGUUGAGCUGAAACGGCGGUGUAAGAGACCACCGGCGGCGCGGUGACGCGCCGGCCUGGCAAGCCCCGCCCGAAGCAACACCGAGUAGGGGGAGAGAUCGGGGUCGCCCGCCCCGCCGCCCGCAAGGGGUCAUCCCCGGGUCGGUGGCUUGAGGCCGUCGGCAACGGCGGUUGUAGAGAGAUGGCCGUCACCCCGCAAGGGGCACAGAACCCGGCUUACAGACCCACCGGCACA